GCGACUUCCGGCGGCGCCGAGGCACGCGCGCCAUAAGUUGGAGCUCCCGGGGCGCCCGGGACGAGCUUCCCAGGAUUCCCCGACCUUCCCGUGCUGCUCGGCCUUGGCCGAAGCAUGCGCGGCUCCGGGGUCCCCUCGCCGAGAAUCGGGGUCCCCCCCACCGUCCAAAUCGCCCCGCCUCAGGGACCCGCCUCAGCCUUGGCGAGGCCGCGCCCUGGCCGUGUGAGCCCAUAUCCCACUCUCACGGCGGUCCCCAGAGUGAGGGUCCCUUCCACAACGGAGAAAGACGUCCCUUUCGCAAAAGCGACUUGGUCGGGUCCCCAGACCCUUGCCCUCCACUCCCAGACGUCACAGACAGGCCUCGCUCCCUUCUCAGGGGCCCCACCUGACUGAGGCUUGGCUGGACACAAUCCUGAAGCAUGCAGAUUCCAGACAUGACCCCCAGCAGAAACACACAUCACUGUUUCAAACCUUUGGCGUGUCAUUCGUGAAGGGAUGAGAUGGCAGCUAUUCAGUCAUAGUACUCCAAGGGUCCCCGGCUCUACCCUCCAGUUAUUCUAACUCAACGAUUUGCCAAAACCACCUGUCGCUCCCAAGCCAAAGACUACCAGUCCACUGACGCCAGUGACCGCACCCAAAUUCCCUUCCUCAGCCAGGCUCGAGAGUCUUCACAGUCCAAACUCCAUGUUCACGGGUCUGAAGCCCCCCCAUUGCCCCCAAGCCCAGGCUGACUGCCCCAAACGAGUGGAGAGCCAGUGUGUACCUGAAUGACAGCUUGAACAAAUGCAGCAACGGACGGCUGCUCUGUGUAGACAGGGGGCUUGAUGAGGGGCCCCGGUCCGUCCCAAAGUGCUCUGAGUCAGAGACCGACGAGGAUUACAUCGUCCUCAGGGCUCCGCUGAGGGAGGACGAACCCAAGGACGGGGGCAGUGUGGGGAAUGCAGCCCUGGUGUCUCCCGAGGCCUCUGCAGAAGAGGAAGAGGAGCGUGAGGAGGGAGGCGAGGCAUGUGGCCUGGAGAGGACAGGAGCUGGUAAGGACUCGGCGGCUAUUGCUGCCCCAGCUGCAGUAUUGCUGAGCAGGGAGGGUGAAGAAGGCACAGACCUCACUCCUGAGGACCAAGGAGAGGGCUGCGGAUGAGCCAGGGACAGAAGAGCAGGUGUCCAGAAGUGAGGAGGAAGAGAAGCUGGUGCAGCCACACAGGGAGUGCAGCCUGGACAAUGGCAGGCCUUGGGCUGGAGAGGUGGUCUUCCAGAGCGACCUCCUCCUGCCUCACAUCCAUGGAGAGGACCACAAGCCCCCCGACAACCCUGGGGAGGCAGAGGAGGAUGAUGAGGAAGGCUGUGCCAGGACAGACCCAGCGGGGCACAUGAGGGUUCGGAUCCUGACAGGCCCACUGAGGACAUGGGAGAGGAUGCUGAGGAAGCCAGCGAGGAGGCCCCUGAGAAGGAGGAACUGGCCGGGGUCCGGAGGCAGAGACGGCCAUGAACAGCCCUGAGGUUCUUGAGGAGGGAUGUGAAGAGGCCACAGGUGUCAUAGGUGGGGAGCAGGUUGACCUUGGUGAACUACCUGACCAUGAGGAGAAAAGCAACCAGAAAGUGGCAGCUGCCACCCUGGAGGACCGCACACAGGAUGAGCCUGCUGAGGAGAGCUGCCAGAUCGUCCUUUUCCAGAACAACUGCAUGGACAACUUUGUGACUUCCCUCACAGGAAGCCCCUACGAGUUCUUCCCAACCAAGAGCACCUCUUUUUGCAGGGAGAGCUGUUCUCCUUUUUCUGAGUCAGUGAAAAGCUUAGAAUCAGAGCAGGCACCAAAGUUGGGGCUGUGUGCGGAGGAGGACCCCGUGGUUGGGGCUUUGUGUGGCCAGCAUGGACCCUUGCAAGAUGGAGUGGCGGAGGGUCCCACAGCCCCUGAUGUGGUGGUCCUGCCGAAGGAGGAGGAGAAGGAGGAGGUCAUUGUGGAUGACAUGCUGGCCAACCCCUAUGUGAUGGGAGUGGGCCUGCUGGGAGGAUGAGGGGGAGGAGGAGGAGGAGGAGUUCGUGGAUGACACACUGGCCAACCCCUAUGUGAUGGGAGUGGGCCUGCCAGGAAGAGGAGGGGAGGAGGAGGAGGAGGAGGAGGUCGUGGAUGACACGCUGGCCAGCCUCUAUGUGAUGGGAGUGGGCCUGCUGGGAGGAGGAGGGGGAAGAGGAGGAGGAGGCUGUGGAUGACACACUGGCCAACCCCUAUGUGAUGGGAGUGGGACUGCCAGGAGGAGGAGAGGAGGAGGGGAGGAGAAGGAGGAGGAAGCCAUGGAUGACAUGCUGGCCAGCCUCUAUGUGAUGGGAGUGAGCCUCCCGGGAGGAGGAGGGGGAAGAGGAGGAGGAGGUUGUUGAUGACACACUGGCCAACCCCUAUGUGAUGGGAGUGGGCCUGCCGGUCUGGCAGCCCCUUGAGAAGGAGGGCAGGCUGCAUUGGAUGCCCUGGGUGGUUAUGGCUCAGAAGAAGAAAUGAACUGUGAAGGAGAGGGCAGCCUGGUCUCCGUGGACAGGAAGAACAUCGACACAAGGGCCUGGCCCCACUCUGGGAAGGUGGCCAGAAACCGUCCCAGAAACUGCCCCCAAAGAAACCAGAUCUGAGGCAGGUUCCUCAGCCCCUGGCAUCGGAGGUGCCGCAGAGGAGGCAGGAAAGAGCUGUUGUCACUGAAGGGAGGCCCCUGGAAGCCAGCAGGGCCUUGCCAGCAAAGCCCAGGGCCUUCACUUUAUACCCUCGGUCGUUCUCCGUGGAAGGCCAAGAGAUUCCUGUUUCCAUCUCUGUGUACUGGGAGCCAGAAGGGUCGGGGUUAGAUGACCACAGGAUAAAGAGGAAAGAGGAACAUCUCUCUGUCGUGUCUGGGAGUUUCUCCCAGAGAAACCACCUUCCAUCCAGCGGCACCUCCACGCCUUCUUCCAUGGUCGACAUCCCACCUCCUUUCGACCUGGCCUGCAUCACCAAGAAGCCCAUCACAAAGAGCUCUCCCUCUCUCCUGAUCGACAGCGACUCCCCGGACAAGUACAAGAAGAAGAAGUCAUCCUUUAAGCGGUUCCUGGCGCUGAUGUUUAACAAGAUGGAGAGGCCAGGCACGAUGGCUCAUGCCUGUCAUCCCAGCACUUUGGGAAGCUGAGGCGAGCAGAUCACCGAAGGUCAGGAGUUCGAGAGCAGCCUGGUCAACAUAGUGAAACCCCGUCUCUAAUAAAAAUACAAAAAUUAGCCAGGCAUGGUGGUGUGCACCUGUAAUCCCAGCUACUUGGGAGGCUGAAACAGGAGAAUUGCUUGAACCUGGGAGGCGGAGGUUGCAGUGAGCCGAGAUUGUGCCAUUGCACUCCAGCCUGGGCAACAAGAGUGAGACUCCAUCUC
Long non-coding RNA from Homo sapiens (human), 3374 nucleotides. Ensembl annotates it as FYVE, RhoGEF and PH domain containing 5 pseudogene 1. Its record names the gene FGD5P1. NCBI's taxonomy places the organism in Eukaryota, Metazoa, Chordata, Mammalia, Primates, Hominidae. The record is from Ensembl.